GACCAACAUGUGCAUGUUUAGCAGGAAUCGGAGACCCAGAAAUAAACCUGUCUUGGACAAACAGUCUUCCAGUAGCAGAACCACGAUCUUUAGCAGUAAGAUAAUAAGUAGACGAGACAAAUUCAUAAGGCCACGCUGCCUCUUCAAGUAGCCUCUGCUUUUUAGCAUCCUUCCACAAAUUGUAUGCAUUUGAUACAUUUGUUGUUGAAUUGAGGUAGACAAAGAAGGGGCCAAAUGUCUUCCUCCAUUCUUCUCCCUCUUGAAAAUGAGCUAAU
This 275-nucleotide unclassified non-coding RNA is filed under the name Hevea brasiliensis (rubber tree). Lineage: Eukaryota; Viridiplantae; Streptophyta; Magnoliopsida; Malpighiales; Euphorbiaceae. The record is from RNAcentral.